This 429-nucleotide ribosomal RNA is filed under the name Actinomycetes bacterium. RNAcentral describes it as "Actinobacteria bacterium partial 16S ribosomal RNA". It matches the Rfam family "Bacterial small subunit ribosomal RNA", at positions 355 to 776 of the family's 1533-position model. The record is from RNAcentral. Lineage: Bacteria; Bacillati; Actinomycetota; Actinomycetes.
UAGGGAAUCUUCCGCAAUGGGCGAAAGCCUGACGGAGCAACGCCGCGUGAGUGAUGAAGGUCUUCGGAUCGUAAAACUCUGUUAUUAGGGAAGAACAUAUGUGUAAGUAACUAUGCACGUCUUGACGGUACCUAAUCAGAAAGCCACGGCUAACUACGUGCCAGCAGCCGCGGUAAUACGUAGGUGGCAAGCGUUAUCCGGAAUUAUUGGGCGUAAAGCGCGCGUAGGCGGUUUUUUAAGUCUGAUGUGAAAGCCCACGGCUCAACCGUGGAGGGUCAUUGGAAACUGGAAAACUUGAGUGCGGAAGAGGAAAGUGGAAUUCCAUGUGUAGCGGUGAAAUGCGCAGAGAUAUGGAAGAACACCAGUGGCGAAGGCGGCUUUCUGGUCUGUAACUGACGCUGAUGUGCGAAAGCGUGGGGAUCAAACAGG